Molecule: ribosomal RNA, 400 nt
Filed under: phytoplankton environmental sample
Lineage: Eukaryota
Description: partial small subunit ribosomal RNA
Rfam family: Eukaryotic small subunit ribosomal RNA
Source: RNAcentral
AGCUCCAAUAGCGUAUAUUAAAGUUGUUGCAGUUAAAAAGCUCGUAGUUGGAUUUGGGACUGGAGUCGUCGGGUCGGCCGCGAGGUCUGUUACUGGACGGCUCCGUCAUUUCAUCUCUCGGAGACCCGUCGUGCACUUCGCUGUGCGCGGCGCGGGACUCGGGACGUUUACUUUGAAAAAAUUAGAGUGUUCAAAGCGAGCGAUUGCCAUGAAUACAUUAGCAUGGAAUAAUAGAAUAGGACCUGAUCCUGUUUUGUUGGUUUGUCGGUAUUAGGUAAUGAUUAAGAGGGACGGUCGGGGGCAUUUGUAUUCCAGGGUUAGAGGUGAAAUUCUUGGAUCCUUGGAAGACAAACAGCUGCGAAAGCGUCUGCCAAGGACGUUUUCAUUGAUCAAGAACGAA